AACGAACGCUGGCGGCGCGCCUAAUACAUGCAGGUCGAGCGAGAAGACGUAGCAAUACGUUUGUAAAGCGGCGAACGGGUGAGGAAUACAUGGGUAACCUACCCUCGAGUGGGAAUAACUAGCCGAAAGGUUAGCUAAUACCGCGUACGCUCCUUGGACUUCGGUUCAGGGAGGAAAGCGAUACCGUGGGUAUCGCGCUCUUGGAUGGGCUCAUGUCCUAUCAGCUUGUUGGUGAGGUAACGGCUCACCAAGGCUUCGACGGGUAGCUGGUCUGAGAGGACGAUCAGCCACACUGGCACUGCGACACGGGCCAGACUCCUAC
Molecule: ribosomal RNA, 322 nt
Filed under: uncultured bacterium
Lineage: Bacteria
Description: bacterial SSU rRNA
Rfam family: Bacterial small subunit ribosomal RNA
Source: RNAcentral